GCCUGGCUGGCUCAGUCGGUAGAGCAUGUGACUCUUGAUCUCAGGGUCAUGAGUUUGAGCCCCAUGUUGGGCG
Molecule: non-coding RNA, 73 nt
Organism: Prionailurus viverrinus (fishing cat)
Lineage: Eukaryota; Metazoa; Chordata; Mammalia; Carnivora; Felidae
Source: the annotation of a RefSeq genome assembly